CACAAGUUUUUAGAAUCACUCUCUCCUGUAACUGCCACGCUCUUACCUUGUGUUGUUCAAAACACACACACACACACACGUAAUGGCUUUGCAGCGUGCUGUACCACUUUCAAUACCUUAAAAACGACAUUGGCGGACCUGCUUCUACUGUCCCGAUUGGCCGAUUGUUUCUACGUAAGUUCAACUUCCAAGUCUCAACGUUCCGUCCGUGUCAAUUGUUCCUAUUCUUUAACAUCUUCUAAAUAGUUUAGUCUGUACCCGAACCAAUACGUGACUUAGUAACACCCCCUAGACUCCAUUAGUCUGGUACGUGGGUUUGAAUUUAAAAUGAACGAAAAUUUACAAAUCCUCCGUCUACUACAAACUAUACGAUCUGAUUUCAUGCGUGGAAAAUUCUCAUAUAGUGACUAUGAGGUCAGUGGUUAUUUAAGCUUUCACGCAUGACGGAUCUAAUAACCUCGAGUAAAAUCGAGAUUCUCAAGAAAAAAUAGAGAAAGUGUAAGACCAUUUGUACACCCACUUAUUGUCAAUCUUUAACAAGAUAUACAUGUGCCCUUAAGAUUAUCUUGAGUACGAACUUUACUAUUUUUCAAGAUAUUAUAAACAAUCGGCUCGCGACCUUUUCGAGUGAGGAGUGUGGUCUAGUGGUAGCGGCUGCAUAUAUGAAAAAGCAUUGUCUCAGGUGUACAAAUGAGUACAAGAGUCAAAAAACAACAAAGCCCCUUCCAACAAUCCUCGGGUAGAGAAGACGUCGGGACCUCUUUCUCUCGAUCUAUAUCACCAUGAACGAUCGCAAAAUUACCUGUGGAGGAAAACCGGAAAAAAUUAAAGAGAUUAUUAAUCGAUUCUCUGAAGUCACUCACUCUAAAAAAACCGGGGAGGGAAAAAGACACAGAAAACCUCAAAACGAAACACCACUUUCCUCCUAUCUCUAUGAGUUGUCCCCGGCGGGAGAAGGAGCAGGCUUGUUCUAGGGGUUCUCGGACAUGGGUGAACUCUUCUCGAGCUACUCGACGUGCCGGAGUGUGUACUCCUCGUCCUCCGGGUCCCUCCUCCUCAGUAAACAAAUGUCAUCCUUCUAACCGAAUACUGGACCACGUAUGGACGUACCAUAAAAGUCAUCUCUACUAAGUUUUAGUUUAGUCGACAAACAAUUGCACCACAACGGACGACGCCAAAAUGAUAUAACACUUAAAGACUAACACACGUUUCCCCUGUGUACAAGUUGAUUAAUCUAGUCAAACAAUUGAUCUUGCACAAUAACCCUUAUUCGUGUCUAGUUAACAGUCGUGUUCUUUACACCUUACGUAAUCUUCAGUAACGACAAUAACAAUAUUACAAAUUAGAAUUUUUUCAUAUGGAUGAGAGAGUGUACCAAUGACUAUGCGUUAAAAACAAACGGAGAAGAGCACGACGUCCUACCUUGACCUUGGUUUGAACCAUCAACUUUAUUAAGAGACAGAAUUAAGUUCCUCCUGGGAUAUAGAUUUCCAUUGUCUCGUCAAAUAUAGUAUUAAGGUAACGAACUAAAGAUCUUCUUACUUUUUCCCUCUUUACCAACAAAGUAAACCACACGCCUAGACCAAAUUUCACACGCACGAAUAUAGACCUUCUAGAACCAACGUUUUCAUAUAGUCCUUCUAGAACCAACGUUUUCACUAGUCUAUAUGAGGAGACAUGGUUUUAUAUUCUGCAAAAAAAGUCAAGUUAACUUAACUUUUUUACAAAACAUAAAAGCAUGCCUCCCUCAUUAUCAGUUGUGUUGGUCCAACCAAGACAUUAAUUUACGGAUACUAGAACAUUAAGACUUAGUUUAUCAAACUAAUGUGUUUCUUACUAUAAAUGAAACACAUUCUAGAACAUUAAGACUUGGUUCAAUUAAGACUUAGUUUAUAAAAAAGAUGAUAAGAUAUACAUUAUUUAUCUCGUGUUUCUUACUAUAAAAGAAACAGUCGUAUAUAUCCAGAAUUCAUCGUUUAGACCCGUAAUAUGUAUCAAAACAAAACGAAACCUAAAGUUAAUUGAACCUUAGCUCCCUCUUCAAUACGAGAGACAUUAAAAUCGGAUUGUCCAUUAAGAAUACGCAAGCUUAUCCCAUACCAUAAAAAAAAAUAAAUUAAUCAAACCGCAAAGAACAUCCGCUUUCAAGAAGGUGCCCACAAAUCUUAACCUUUACCAAUUGAAUGCAACUAUACCAUGGUAUUGAUAAGGUGAACGUUCUUAUACAUUCCCAUAUACCGUUCCGUUAAGAACAAACUGCUCGUAUUACUUUUUGUUUCGCCGUUUUCUUCUAUUUACUACUUUCUUCUCUAUUAAAAAC
Molecule: ribosomal RNA, 2320 nt
Filed under: Triticum aestivum (bread wheat)
Lineage: Eukaryota; Viridiplantae; Streptophyta; Magnoliopsida; Poales; Poaceae
Description: partial small subunit ribosomal RNA
Source: RNAcentral